UUUUUUUUUUUUUUUUUUUUCUUUUUUUCCCCCUUUGUUGUUGUUUAUGCAUGUUUAGAUGUGAGAAACUCACACUAUCUUCAACUAUAAAUAAGUUCAAAUACUUCUUUAAAUAGUAUUUAGUUGUGGAGUCGGGGUUACUGAACAGAAGUAUGGUACAUCAAUUCAGAUACUGGACUCAUCAGGCCUUGAUAAAAUUAUUAAUUAUUUCAAGAACGAUGGAAAAGGAAUGGAUAUCAAACAAAUAAUUGACAAGUACUGAGAAUUGAGUGAAAAACCAUUGAUUACUAUCAGUGAUUUGUUACAAUACACUUUUGCUAAUCCUCGUGGAUAUAAGUUGAAAACAGAGGACAGUCCAAUGAGUUUCAGAACAUUUGUGAAUUUAUUGGCAAAAUGUGAUUGCAGAUGGGCUUCUAAGAGACUUGAGCAUGUGCUAGUUGUAAUUAUAAAGCUCUUGAAUGAGCAAAAAGCUAAUAAUCUUAAUAGAAAAUGUGGUAAGUCUAGGCAUGAGCUAAGGGAAGAGGCAAGAAAAUCUAUUGGGGACACAGGUUUAAUUGAUUUUGUGCUCAAAUCUAUCAAAUCUUUUGUAGUGAAUAAUCCAAUUAUUCGACGAACAAUAAAUCCACUAACUCGAUUAGUGGAAUUUACAAUUUAUGUUGUUGCUAAAGAAGCGGAAGGAUAGUGGCCAAUUUCAAGAAAGGAUUCUGGUUGUAGAUAUUCAAGAAAUAAACUGGAACAAGCAGCAAAAGUUGUGGUGAAUAUUUUGAUAUUUAGGAGAUGAUUCAAUCCUCAACAAAUGUCUUGCUUGCUUUUAGUUGUUUUGUUUUGUAUAUAAAAUGUUUAUUGUUUUGUUUUGCAAAUCUGAUAAAUCAUAUGGCAAGUUACUUAUCUUUAUUACAUGUUUUAAAUUUUAAUUGUUUGAUUUGGAGCAAGCAAGGUGGAAGAAGAUUAAAGAGGGUGGCAUUUGGACAAUUGGCCCAUCAAUUUAUCUAAGAAGGAAUAUUAAUACAAUGUGGAGCCUGCUUUGUUGAGAAGCAAGAGGUUAAGCAAUACCGUUUUUAAGCAAUACAGCAGUGAUGAGCUGAAUAUCAGUUGGAGCAUAGAAGUUAUGAAAAUGGUGUUAGUGGUGUUGAAGAUUCUGUGGAAGAAGAGUGCAUUCCGAUGAAACAUGAUGGGCACAUCAGUUGGGAGCUUGAGUAUUGGCAAUAAAUCACACCGUGUUAUUUGGAGAAUACAAGUGUAAGGGCCAUGGAGCAGAUAAAGGACGAACAGUGUCGUGGUCGAAAGCUCUGAAUUUUGGUUUGUAAUUAUUAUAUGUAUGCUAGUAAUCAAAUAAAUGAACAAUUUGCACGCCGUAAAAAAAUUAUGUUCUUUUAUUUACGACGUGCAUAUGCACGCCAUAAAAAAUGACUUUUAUUUACAGCUUUUUACGGCAUGCAAUGCACGCCGUAAAAAGUACAUUUUGUUGUAGUAAAUGACAUCAUCAAUUCAAAUCUUCAAUUGAAUCUUCAGGUCUUCAAAUUAA
This is a long non-coding RNA of Olea europaea var. sylvestris, 1525 nucleotides long. RefSeq lists it as uncharacterized. The transcript has 2 exons. The record is from RefSeq and is a predicted model, not a curated record. NCBI's taxonomy places the organism in Eukaryota, Viridiplantae, Streptophyta, Magnoliopsida, Lamiales, Oleaceae.